RNAcentral lists this non-coding RNA (29 nucleotides) under Bombyx mori (domestic silkworm). The record is from RNAcentral. Lineage: Eukaryota; Metazoa; Arthropoda; Insecta; Lepidoptera; Bombycidae.
UCAGUUAAUAAUAGAUGGAGCGCUGGUCU